GUGCUUCUUCUCGAUAGUUACCGUUUCGUUGCGAUCGUGAGGAUUCGUUCGACUACGCUUGGUUCGUCUUCGUGGCUUCAUCUUCUUCAUGGACUCGUUCUUCUUCCUUGCGGGAUUUCAGGCAAGAUGACCAUUUCCUUGGAUCUCACUACUAUCAUUGCUAUGCUAGUUGCUUCGUUCUAUCGCUUUGCUGCGUUACCUAUCUUUUGCUCCUCAAGCCUCCCAAAUUGCCAUGAACCUCUAACCUUUGACACCCUUCCUAGCAAACCCUUACUUGGCUAUGUUACCGCUUUGCUCAGCCCCUCUUAUAGCGUUGUUAGUUGCAGGUGAAUUUGAAGAUUGCUCCAUGGUGGACAGGAUUAUGUUGGGAUAUCACAAUAUCUCUUAUAUUAUUUUUAAUGCUCCUAUAUACUUGGUAAAGGGUGGAAGGCUCGGCCUUAUGCCUAGUGUUUUGUUCCACUCUUGCCGCCCUAGUUUCCGUCAUACCGGUGUUAUGUUCCCAGAUUUUGCGUUCCUUACGCGGUUGGGUGAUUUAUGGGACCCCCUUGACAGUUCGCUUUGAAUGAAACUCCUCCAGCAAGGCCCAACAUUGGUUUUACCAUUUGCCUCACCACCACCUACUUUUCCCUUGGGAGUCGCUCUCUCGAGUGUCAUCUUUAUUUUAGCCCCCCCCCCCCUGGGCCAGUGCUUCUCUAAGUGUUGUUCCGAACUAGAGCCCUUUGCAGCGCCCCCUCAGGGAAACUUGAGGUCUGGUUUUAGUUGUACGGAUUGCUCAUCCGGUGUUGCCCUGAGAACGAGAUAUGUGCAGCUCCUAUCGGGAUUGUCGGCGCAUCGGGCGGUCUUGCUGGUCUUGUUUUACCAUUGUCGAAAUGUCUAGUAAACCGGGAUUCCGAGUCUGAUCGGGUCUUCCUGGGAGAAGGUAUAUCCUUCGUUGAUCGCGAGAGCUUAUCAUGGGCUAAGUUGGGACACCCCUGCAGGGUAUAAACUUUCGAAAGCCGUGCCCGCGAUUAUGGGCAGAUGGGAAUUUGUUAAUGUCCGGUUGUAGAUAACUUGACACUAGAUCCGAAUUAAAACGCAUCAACCGCGUGUGUAGCCGUGAUGGUCUCUUUUUGGCGGAGUCCGGGAAGUGAACACGGUUUUGGGUUAUGUUUAACAUAAGUAGGAGUUCAUGAUCACUUCUUGAUCAUUGCUAGCUUCACGACCGUUCCAUUUGCUCUCUUCUCGCUCUUAUUUGCGUACGUUAGCCACCAUACAUGCUUAGUCGCUGCUGCAACCUCACCACUUUAGCCCUUCCUUUCCCAUUAAGCUUUGCUAGUCUUGAUACCCAUGGUAAUGGGAUUGCUGAAUCCUCGUGGCUCACAGUUUACUACAACAACAGUUGCAGGUACAGGUUAUGCGAUGAUCAUGACACGAGAGCGAUGUUUGCUUGUUUUGGAGUUCUUCUUCUUCUUCUCCUUCGAUCAGGGGAUAGG
This 1472-nucleotide long non-coding RNA is filed under the name Triticum aestivum (bread wheat). Its description in RNAcentral is "long non-coding RNA (TAES_LNC027892)". The record is from RNAcentral. Lineage: Eukaryota; Viridiplantae; Streptophyta; Magnoliopsida; Poales; Poaceae.